This 253-nucleotide ribosomal RNA is filed under the name uncultured bacterium. RNAcentral's name for it is "partial 16S ribosomal RNA". It matches the Rfam family "Bacterial small subunit ribosomal RNA", at positions 524 to 776 of the family's 1533-position model. The record is from RNAcentral.
UACGUAGGGGGCAAGCGUUGUUCGGAUUUACUGGGCGUAAAGGGCGCGUAGGCGGCGUGACAAGUCACUUGUGAAAUCUCCGGGCUUAACCCGGAACUGCCAAGUGAUACUGUUGUGCUAGAGUGCAGAAAGGGCAAUCGGAAUUCUUGGUGUAGCGGUGAAAUGCGUAGAUAUCAAGAGGAACACCUGAGGCGAAGGCGGGUUGCUAGGCUGACACUGACGCUGAUGCGCGAAAGCUAGGGGAGCGAACGGG